UAACGAAUCUUCCGCAAUGGGCGAAAGCCUGACGGAGCAAUGCCGCGUGUGGGAUGAAGCGCCUUCGGCGUGUAAACCACUGUCAGGGAAUGGAACCAAUGAUUAUUCCCAAAGGAAGUGGCGACUAACUCUGUGCCAGCAGUCGCGGUAAUACAGAGGCCACAAGCGUUAGUCGGAAUCACUGGGCUUAAAGCGAACGUAGGUGGUUAUGUGUGUCUAGUGUGAAAGCCCACGGCUCAACCGUGGAAGUGCGCUAGAAACUGCAUAACUGGAGUGUAGGAGAGGAUAGUAGAAUUCUCAGUGUAGAGGUGAAAUUCGUAGAUACUGGGAGGAACACCGGUGGCGAAGGCGACUAUCUGGACUAUAACUGACACUGAUGUUCGAAAGCGUGGGUAGCAAACAGGAUUAGAUACCCCAGUAGUCCCUGAGCGGGCUGGCAAGGCGCAU
Molecule: ribosomal RNA, 447 nt
Filed under: uncultured bacterium
Lineage: Bacteria
Description: bacterial SSU rRNA
Rfam family: Bacterial small subunit ribosomal RNA
Source: RNAcentral